AGCGAACGCUGGCGGCAGGCUUAACACAUGCAAGUCGAGCGGGCACUUUCGGGUGUCAGCGGCGGACGGGUGAGUAACGCGUGGGAACGUGCCCUCUGGUUCGGAAUAACUCAGGGAAACUUGAGCUAAUACCGGAUACGCCCUUUUGGGGAAAGGCUUGCUGCCGGAGGAUCGGCCCGCGUCUGAUUAGCUAGUUGGUGAGGUAACGGCUCACCAAGGCGACGAUCAGUAGCUGGUCUGAGAGGAUGAUCAGCCACACUGGGACUGAGACACGGCCCAGACUCCUACGGGAGGCAGCAGUGGGGAAUAUUGGACAAUGGGCGCAAGCCUGAUCCAGCCAUGCCGCGUGAGUGAUGAAGGCCUUAGGGUUGUAAAGCUCUUUUAUCCGGGACGAUAAUGACGGUACCGGGGGAAUAAGCCCCGGCUAACUUCGUG
Molecule: ribosomal RNA, 435 nt
Filed under: uncultured bacterium
Lineage: Bacteria
Description: partial 16S ribosomal RNA
Rfam family: Bacterial small subunit ribosomal RNA
Source: RNAcentral